GUUGACUUAAAGACAUGUGAGAAAGUUUUUUAAAACGGUUUCUGUCAUAGUCUUAUUCUUCAGCGGUCAUUUUUACAUCUCAGUUAGGUCAAAAUAAGGGAUUUUGCCGAAAUUUGACAAAAUCAGCAGGAUUUCAGCCAAAUUUAAGAUCAGGAAACAUAGAGCGCAGCCGUCGACAACCUUAAUAAUCAAGUUAAACAUGUAAAAUGUCAUUACAAACAUUAUUAUCAAAGAUCUUUUUUGUCGGCAUAUGCGCUCUAUGUUUUCUGUCCAAAUAUUCAAUGGAAAUUUACCCAUUUUCAUUGUUUUUUUUCAUAGAAAAUCAAAAUGAGUACUAUUUGUGACGUCAUGAAUAGAACGCAGGAAUGUAAAUUUGUAAAAAAGACUUAUUUCCUAUCUUGUCACUAUAUAAGCUUUUAUUCAUUGUGAUAGUGGUCAAUAAAUCCCGAUUUAAAAUUUAGGCUAAAAAAGGGGGC
RNAcentral lists this long non-coding RNA (476 nucleotides) under Mytilus galloprovincialis (Mediterranean mussel). Lineage: Eukaryota; Metazoa; Mollusca; Bivalvia; Mytilida; Mytilidae. The record is from RNAcentral.